RNAcentral lists this ribosomal RNA (782 nucleotides) under uncultured bacterium. RNAcentral describes it as "bacterial SSU rRNA". It matches the Rfam family "Bacterial small subunit ribosomal RNA", at positions 28 to 807 of the family's 1533-position model. The record is from RNAcentral.
GAUGAACGCUGGCGGCGUGCUUAACACAUGCAAGUCGAACGAAGCACUUUAUUUGAUUUCCUUCGGGACUGAUUAUUUUGUGACUGAGUGGCGGACGGGUGAGUAACGCGUGGGUAACCUGCCUUGUACGGGGGGAUAACAGUUGGAAACGGCUGCUAAUACCGCAUAAGCGCACAACAUCGCAUGAUGCAGUGUGAAAAAACUCCGGUGGUAUAAGAUGGACCCGCGUUGGAUUAGCUAGUUGGUGAGGUAACGGCCCACCAAGGCGACGAUCCAUAGCCGACCUGAGAGGGUGACCGGCCACAUUGGGACUGAGACACGGCCCAAACUCCUACGGGAGGCAGCAGUGGGGAAUAUUGCACAAUGGGCGAAAGCCUGAUGCAGCGACGCCGCGUGAGCGAAGAAGUAUUUCGGUAUGUAAAGCUCUAUCAGCAGGGAAGAUAAUGACGGUACCUGACUAAGAAGCACCGGCUAAAUACGUGCCAGCAGCCGCGGUAAUACGUAUGGUGCAAGCGUUAUCCGGAUUUACUGGGUGUAAAGGGAGCGCAGGCGGUGCGGCAAGUCUGAUGUGAAAGCCCGGGGCUCAACCCCGGUACUGCAUUGGAAACUGUCGUACUAGAGUGUCGGAGGGGUAAGCGGAAUUCCUAGUGUAGCGGUGAAAUGCGUAGAUAUUAGGAGGAACACCAGUGGCGAAGGCGGCUUACUGGACGAUAACUGACGCUGAGGCUCGAAAGCGUGGGGAGCAAACAGGAUUAGAUACCCUGGUAGUCCACGCCGUAAAC